Molecule: ribosomal RNA, 383 nt
Filed under: Stevenia hirtigena
Lineage: Eukaryota; Metazoa; Arthropoda; Insecta; Diptera; Rhinophoridae
Description: partial 16S ribosomal RNA
Source: RNAcentral
CGAAGGUAGCAUAAUCAGUAGUCUUUUAAUUGAAGGCUGGAAUGAAUGGUUGGACGAAAUAUAAACUGUUUCAAGAGAAAUUAUAAUAAAAUUUUAUUUUUUAGUAAAAAAGCUAAAAUUUAUUUAAAAGACGAGAAGACCCUAUAAAUCUUUAUAUAUUAUUUAUAUUAUGAUUUUAUAGAUUAAUUUUAUUAUAAUAAAUUUAUAUAUUUUAUUGGGGUGAUGUUAAAAUUUGAUAAACUUUUAAUAAAAAAAUUCAUUAAUUUAUGAUUUAUUGAUCCAUUAAUAAUGAUUAAAAAAUUAAGUUACUUUAGGGAUAACAGCGUAAUUUUUUUGGAGAGUUCUUAUCAAUAAAAAAGAUUGCGACCUCGAUGUUGGAUUAA